Molecule: unclassified non-coding RNA, 1045 nt
Filed under: Leishmania donovani
Lineage: Eukaryota; Euglenozoa; Kinetoplastea; Trypanosomatida; Trypanosomatidae
Description: gene:LdHU3.36.4140(CDS-product:hypothetical_prote in_conserved)
Source: RNAcentral
UUUACUCCCCCCCCCCUCUCAGACACACACACCACACACAACGCCACCCAUCUCGCAUUUCUUCGGAUUGCCUGUCACCCCCUUCCUACGGAGCCUUCAUUAAAAAUUAGCGAAAAAAAAAAGAAGUCUGAAGGUACACCGUGACGACGAACAAACUCAUGAGCACCGUAGCCGAGCUGCAAGCUCAACUUGAUGCACUGCGUGCCCGCAACGCACAAGAGGUAGAGGCGGCCCAGGCCACACUCGCCAAGCUGCAGCAGGACCUCAAUUAUAUGCAGGAGGACACGGAAGCCCUCGAGAGAGAGGAGGAGGAGCUCUGCAAGCAAUUCGGCAAGAGUCGCGGCACCGACACUGCGUUGUCCGCAAGCCAGCACACCGACAUCAUCGCUCAAGGGCUAUGUGCUCUCGUAGAGUGUGACGAUAGUAAGUGCUGCUGAGGGCGCGAAGGGUACAAGGAGUGGCACUGUGGUAAAGCUCACCCUUUCCGGUCAGUUCCCGCUCUGGGAUGCCCAUCACUCUCUCUAUCUCCGCUUCUCGACCCCCCACUACGCGCCCAGUGUCUCUCUCUCUCUUUGGGGCGUCUGCGUAUUUGUGUGUUUCGGUGCACUCUCGUUUUUUUAUCUGCUCCCGUGCGCUUGCGGCUCGUGGUGCAGUAAAGUCCAAGCAGAGGGGGUGAGAAAGAGAAAACCCCUUCAGCGGUGUGUCGCAGUGUCGCCUCCGGCACAAAAAAAAGCACCUGUCAUUGGUAUCGUCACAUUCAUCGAUAGCUGCCACACCACUGCAGAGCGCUGCUUCCAGCUUGCUCACCUUCUGACUCUCUUCGCAUAUUUCGCCCUCUGUCGCUCCUGACGAAGUGACCUUGCAUCUCCUCUUCCGUAUUGCCCUUCUACUUCUGCGCCCCUGCUUAUGCAUUUCCUGUCGGCGUUACUGCGUUGGUCUUUCAUCUCUCCAACGGUGUUGUGGUUGUGUGGGCCUGCCUGCCCCCCCCCCACACACCCUCCGCUGCAUCACAUCUCUCUGUGCCUGCAUGCGCACUGUCACUCAG